Molecule: ribosomal RNA, 472 nt
Filed under: uncultured organism
Description: partial 16S ribosomal RNA
Rfam family: Bacterial small subunit ribosomal RNA
Source: RNAcentral
GUACACUCCUACGGGAGGCAGCAGUGAGGAAUAUUGGACAAUGGGUGGAAGCCUGAUCCAGCCAUCCCGCGUGCAGGAAGACGGCCCUAUGGGUUGUAAACUGCUUUUAUCUGGGGAUAAACCUACUUACGUGUAAGUAGCUGAAGGUACCAGAAGAAUAAGCACCGGCUAACUCCGUGCCAGCAGCCGCGGUAAUACGGAGGGUGCAAGCGUUAUCCGGAUUUAUUGGGUUUAAAGGGUCCGUAGGCGGACUGAUAAGUCAGUGGUGAAAUCCGACAGCUUAACUGUCGAACUGCCAUUGAUACUGUUAGUCUUGAGUAAGGUUGAAGUGGCUGGAAUAAGUAGUGUAGCGGUGAAAUGCAUAGAUAUUACUUAGAACACCAAUUGCGAAGGCAGGUCACUAAGUCUUAACUGACGCUGAUGGACGAAAGCGUGGGGAGCGAACAGGAUUAGAAACCCCGGUAGUCCCAUG